GACGAACGCUGGCGGCGUGCUUAACACAUGCAAGUCGAACGGAAAGGCCCUGCUUUUGUGGGGUGCUCGAGUGGCGAACGGGUGAGUAACACGUGAGUAACCUGCCCUUGACUUUGGGAUAACUUCAGUAAACUGGGGCUAAUACCGGAUAGGAGCUCCUUCUGCAUGGUGGGUGUUGGAAAGUUUCGGCGGUUGGGGAUGGACUCGCGGUUUAUCAGCUUGUUGGUGGGGUAGUGGCUUACCAAGGCUUUGACGGGUAGCCGGACUGAGAGGGUGACCGGCCACAUUGGGACUGAGAUACGGCCCAGACUCCUACGGGAGGCAGCAGUGGGGAAUAUUGCAAAAUGGGCGGAAGCCUGAUGCAGCAACGCCGCGUGCGGGAUGACGGCCUUCGGGUUGUAAACCGCUUUCGCCUGUGACGAAGCGUGAGUGACGGUAAUGGGUAAAGAAGCACCGGCUAACUACGUG
Molecule: ribosomal RNA, 468 nt
Filed under: uncultured bacterium
Lineage: Bacteria
Description: partial 16S ribosomal RNA
Rfam family: Bacterial small subunit ribosomal RNA
Source: RNAcentral